Non-coding RNA from Hanseniaspora opuntiae, 89 nucleotides. Lineage: Eukaryota; Fungi; Ascomycota; Saccharomycetes; Saccharomycodales; Saccharomycodaceae. The record is from Rfam.
UUAAUAUGAUGAAUAACUUUUAUCAGUUCUGCUUCUGAACCAAACUCAACAGGAAGAUAAUAUAAAAUACUUACCAAAACCGCUGAUAU